This 625-nucleotide ribosomal RNA is filed under the name bacterium 4878K2-B4. RNAcentral's name for it is "bacterial SSU rRNA". It matches the Rfam family "Bacterial small subunit ribosomal RNA", at positions 74 to 691 of the family's 1533-position model. The record is from RNAcentral.
GAUAGCUUGCUAUCAAUGCUGACGAGCGGCGGACGGGUGAGUAAUGCCUGGGAAUAUGCCCUGAUGUGGGGGAUAACUAUUGGAAACGAUAGCUAAUACCGCAUAAUCUCUUCGGAGCAAAGAGGGGGACCUUCGGGCCUCUCGCGUCAGGAUUAGCCCAGGUGGGAUUAGCUUGUUGGUGGGGUAAUGGCUCACCAAGGCAACGAUCCCUAGCUGGUCUGAGAGGAUGAUCAGCCACACUGGAACUGAGACACGGUCCAGACUCCUACGGGAGGCAGCAGUGGGGAAUAUUGCACAAUGGGGGAAACCCUGAUGCAGCCAUGCCGCGUGUAUGAAGAAGGCCUUCGGGUUGUAAAGUACUUUCAGUUGUGAGGAAGGCGUUGAUGUUAAUAGCUUCAGCGUUUGACGUUAGCAACAGAAGAAGCACCGGCUAACUCCGUGCCAGCAGCCGCGGUAAUACGGAGGGUGCGAGCGUUAAUCGGAAUUACUGGGCGUAAAGCGCAUGCAGGUGGUCUGUUAAGCAAGAUGUGAAAGCCCGGGGCUCAACCUCGGAACAGCAUUUUGAACUGGCAGACUAGAGUACUGUAGAGGGGGGUAGAAUUUCAGGUGUAGCGGUGAAAUGCGU